GAAGGCAGGCAUCAAUGACAAAGCUCACCAUUUGUUUAAUGCAGCAGUACAGAUUACAGUCCUCUGAAAAAAGAGUUUUAAGAUUUCCAUCAUGUACAGAUCAAUGGAUGAGGAUGAAUUGUGCCAAGACUCGAAACUAUUGAACCUCAGGUCAGCUAGUGGUGUUGCCAGUGCUGAAGAGGUUAAGUUUGAAGGGAAUGUUAUAUAAAAGGAGAGGCACUUCACAUAAUCAAGCUGUAGCCAGCACCAAGUGAAUACCGGAAGGAAGUACUGACAGGAGGGGCCAGCCCUAAUCCAGUAUGAAACCCAGCAGUACACAGACAGCUCCAGCAUCUCCUUCGCCAGCGACCGCCAGCAGGUGACUCCAGGGCAUGUGGACCUUGUCCAUGCAACAACUGAGGCAACAUACCUUCUCUGCUGUCGGUCUUGCUGAUGAAUCCGUGAACAAUGCUUGCAGUAUUCUACGCUACUAAUAUCCAACAGGGUCUUGCAAUCACAAUAAAAAUGCCCAAGACAAUCACUCGUCCCUUUUCUUUGACCCUGCGCCAUCUCAGUAGAACGGUAUGUUACAAGCCCAGGUGACGACACAACGGUAUGCAAUAAGUCCAGCUCCAUUGGUAUCGAACAACUCACUGGUGGGAUAGUCCCACUUUACUUGAUGCUCUUGGUAUC
Mobula hypostoma (lesser devil ray) is the source of this 672-nucleotide long non-coding RNA. RefSeq lists it as uncharacterized. The record is from RefSeq and is a predicted model, not a curated record. NCBI's taxonomy places the organism in Eukaryota, Metazoa, Chordata, Chondrichthyes, Myliobatiformes, Myliobatidae. The transcript is spliced from 3 exons.